Molecule: ribosomal RNA, 257 nt
Filed under: uncultured bacterium
Lineage: Bacteria
Description: partial 16S ribosomal RNA
Rfam family: Bacterial small subunit ribosomal RNA
Source: RNAcentral
GACAGAGGGGGCAAGCGUUGCUCGGAAUCACUGGGCGUAAAGGGCGCGUAGGCGGGAUGGCAAGUCAGUCGUGAAAUCUCUCGGCUCAACCGAGAAACGUCGGGCUGAUACUGCCGUUCUUUGAGGGAUGCAGAGGAGACUGGAAUUCCCGGUGUAGCGGUGAAAUGUGUAGAGAUCGGGAGGAACACCUGUGGUGAAGACGGCUCUCUAGACCGCAACUGACGCUGAGACACGAAAAGCGUGGGGUAGCAAACAGG